GACGAACGCUGGCGGCGUGCUUAACACAUGCAAGUCGAACGGGCCUGUCUUCUUUUUUGGGGGGUGGGUUGAGUGGCGAACGGGUGAGUAUCACGUGAGUAACCUGCCCUUCGGUCCUGGAUAACCGCUUGAAAGGGCGGCUAAUACGGGGUGGUCCGGUUGGUCCGCAUGGGCUGGUCGGGAUAGAUUCACUGUUUUUGGUGUUUCGGCGGGGGAUGGGCUCGCGGCCUAUCAGCUUGUUGGUGGGGUGAUGGCCUACCAAGGCGGUGACGGGUAGCCGGCCUGGGAGGGUGGGCGGCCACACUGGGACUGAGAUACGGCCCAGACUCCUGCGGGAGGCAGCAGUGGGGGGGAUUGCACAAUGGGCGGAAGCCUGAUGCAGCGACGUCGCGUGAGGGAUGGAGGCCUUCGGGUUGUGAACCUCUGUUUCCGGUGGUGAAGGCCCUGUCCGUGUGGUGGGGUUGACGGUAGCCGGGGAUGAAGCGCCGGCUAACUACGUG
This 500-nucleotide ribosomal RNA is filed under the name uncultured bacterium. RNAcentral's name for it is "partial 16S ribosomal RNA". It matches the Rfam family "Bacterial small subunit ribosomal RNA", at positions 28 to 507 of the family's 1533-position model. The record is from RNAcentral.